This 314-nucleotide ribosomal RNA is filed under the name Hospesneotomae protracta (western bloodsucking conenose). RNAcentral describes it as "Triatoma protracta (western bloodsucking conenose) partial 16S ribosomal RNA". Lineage: Eukaryota; Metazoa; Arthropoda; Insecta; Hemiptera; Reduviidae. The record is from RNAcentral.
UCCUUCUGUUUAUUUAUUUAAGGUCUGACCUGCCCAAUGAGGAAUAGAAUGGCCGCAGUAUUUUAACUGUGCUAAGGUAGCAUAAUCAUUUGUCUUUUACUUGAGGGCUGGAAUGAAAGGUUGGACGAGAUAUUAACUUUCUUUAGUUUAAUUAUAAGAAUUUAAUUUUUUAGUUAAAAGCUAAAACUUUAUUUGUUGGACGAGAAGACCCUAUAGAUCUUUAUAAUUUUAUACUUUAAUAGUGUAGGGAAUAUUCUUUUUUGAAGUAAAUUAAUUAUUUUGUUGGGGUGACUGUAGAAUUUAUUUAACUUCCA